Molecule: ribosomal RNA, 253 nt
Filed under: uncultured bacterium
Lineage: Bacteria
Description: partial 16S ribosomal RNA
Rfam family: Bacterial small subunit ribosomal RNA
Source: RNAcentral
UACGUAGGUGGCAAGCGUUGUUCGGAAUUACUGGGCGUAAAGGGCGCGUAGGCGGACAGUUUAGUCAGAGGUGAAAGCCCAGGGCUCAACCUUGGAAUUGCCUUUGAUACUGGCUGUCUUGAGUUCGGGAGAGGUGAGUGGAAUGCCGAGUGUAGAGGUGAAAUUCGUAGAUAUUCGGCGGAACACCAGUGGCGAAGGCGACUCACUGGCCCGAUACUGACGCUGAGGCGCGAAAGCGUGGGGAGCAAACAGG